This 472-nucleotide non-coding RNA is filed under the name Pan troglodytes (chimpanzee). The record is from RNAcentral. Lineage: Eukaryota; Metazoa; Chordata; Mammalia; Primates; Hominidae.
CAGAAAUGCCACAAUGUUGAAAGGAAUGCAUUACAGUUCCCACAAACACACACCCCUCCCUGCAACCACUACAAGAUAUGCAAGCAACUCUGAGCUGACUUGGAUCUAAUUCUUCCCAAUUCAUGCCACAAGCCCAACUCAUCGGCUGAUACCUGAGGAUGAUCCACUGCUCACUGAGCGUGGUCAGGGAGCGCCGCUGUCGGACGAGCAUCUUCAUCAAAUGUGCUGAGAACCCUCUGCACCUCUCCACAUUGCCCAUGCCCAUUUCCUGGCAGAAGAAGGAAAAACAUGCUGAAGGGGCUGCUGACAAACAUCACCCACAGAUGUGCCUCUAGAAAGCUGUUUCUACUAUAAGCGUCAGACAUGCCACACUCUAGAGGUGACAUAUUCAUUUUUUUGAGCAGUGUUUCUCCAAUUAUGCUUGCACAGAUCAUUGAUAUUCCAUAGACAGGAACUGGAUUUAACUCCAAAA